UUUUUUUUUUCCAAUGUCUGUUCCCGGGACAGAGCCUCCCAGUAGGCCUUGCACUGUGCUGCAUGUGGUCCCUGGAGUUUUACAGCCUCACUACAGACACAAAACAGAGUGGUUAACACAAGCAAUCCUGAAUUGCAUAAAUGUGCUGGAUGCCCAUGCUAGACUAAGAAAGUUCUUCGUAUUCAGGAGAAACACUGUGGCCCUGAGAGGCCAGGGAAGGCCACGUGGAAGAGGAGAGUCCAUGGGUGGGUAGGAUUUAGGACCAGGGGAGAAGAAUUGCAAGCAAGAGCUGGAAAUAUACAGUUGAGGCUGGGAAGAGCUCACACUGAGAAGUGGCAACACAUAAAGUUGGAAAAGUAGGUUGGAGCCAAAUUGCUCAGGAUUUUAAGUGCCAGAAGGAGGAAUUGGAGAAUGGAAGCUGGGAGACCAGGCAGGAAACAGCUGUUCUCCAGGAGAGAGAGAGCAAGGGUCUGUCCCAAAGUGGGAGCACAGGUAGGAAACAAUUGAGAGGCAUUUUGAAGGAUGAAGGCUCCUCUGUCUCCUGUGCCCAGGAGCCCUGCCCUCUGCUAGGCUCUGGGACUAGUAAUGCUGAUUAACUGAUCUGCCAGUGGAUGCAUUGGCCCUCCCUGAUGACCCGGCACCCUUCUUGGAGAAGAGUGGGACUCUGGCCCCCUAUCCCUCCAUGUUCAAUUGCCCACAUCACUCAACUCUUCCUGUCCACCACACUUACCCUCCCAAGUGUAUUUCCUCAUCUGCAAAAACAGCAUGAGAAAGCUCCUCCUUCCUAAGUUUAUUGUGAGGUUGAAUAAGGUCAUGCGUGGAAGAUGCAAAGCACAGGGCCUGGCGCUUGUAACCGCUCAGCAGAUGGGAACCGCCAGCAUAAAUAUUCUGCACCCUUGGUCAGCUGGGACCCAUUAUUGAGAGUGGCUAUUCUCGUCUCUCUCUAUGAAAUGUUAGACACUAGCAGACAGCUGAAGGUGAAAUCAAGCAAGUUUGAACUGUGGUCUCUCUCUGGGGCUCCUUGUCAGGUAAGUUGGACAUAAGCAACUUCCUAACAAAAGAGCCAGAAGUUGUUUCAUUCUGACAGUGAAGCAUGACUUCAUAGUUUCUUAUUCUAUAAGUUGUACAGACAGACUUUUCUUCCUUUUUGUGUUUAUGCCAUGAUGUCUUGGAGCCAAGCUAUAGCAGAGCCCCUGGAUAGGAAUUUAGGAUGCUUUUGGACCCCUUCCAUAGAGGUCAAGUCCUGGGAAUACUGGAAGGGCCUUCACACAAGAGCUCCCUCAUCCCAUCCCUGUAUGUCUUGGACAUAGAAAGAGAGGAGGAACUGACAUUUAACGACAAUGUGCUGUGGCUUUGACACGUGUCAUGUUAUGUAACCCUCACACCAGUCCUAUGAGAUAGGGAUUGUUAUCUGCACUGUUGUAAGUAAGGAAAUAGUCUUGAUUGAAGGGCCUUACCCAAACUCACACAUCUAGUCAUCACUGCAACCAACAUUCUGCCUCUUGGUGCCCCUCGCUGAAGCUCCUUAUUUCCUGCAUACUCUCCUCCUCCCAGGGCUGCUGAGGCCACAUGGUAAGCCUACUGCUGCUGUUCCUAUGAGUUUCCUUUUUCAAUGUGUUUUUUAGGAGACGAGGCCUCACUGUGUUGCACCACCUGGAGUGCCAUGGCUAUUCACAGGCACAAUUGUAGCUUACUACAGACAUGAACUCCUAGGCUCAAGUAAUCCUCUUGCCUCAGCCACUCGAGUGCAGGGACUACAGGUGUGUGCCACCAUGCCUGGCCUGUUACCAUGACUUUCCAAUUCAGCAAAUUUUCUGUAAUAGGAUGAUUGAGAGGUUUGUAGUUCCAUAAUGGUGGCUGGCUAUAAUGAUUACCUAUAACUAUAUAAUUGGGAAUAAACUGAAACAGGUGCAAACUCUAAUCAGCCCCAAAUAACAUCUUAAUGACAAGUAGAGGACAAAUUAAAUGGAAGCAAAGUCGUAGGACAGAGUACAGAAAAGCAUGGUGACAGGAGUUUCUUGUCUGUCUCUAAGGAAGUAGGAUGGGAUGGAGAGUCAAUUCAAUUUAGACAGAAGCUGAAGAUCAAACAACAGAACAUUUUAGCUUCUAUUUUAACUAUGUAUUUUACAGCUGGAUUCCAAAGAAGAUAAAUAAAUUAUAUUUGCACCUAUCAUCUUUUCAAAUAUCUUUGCCAACAAAGUCAUUCAAUAUAUUGAGUGUCCCUGUGGUCAAGAUCUUACACAUUUAAUGUAUGAAAGAGGAGAGACAAGGCCCUGCAGCAGAAAAUCUCACAAUUUGAGGGAGAAGAAAUGGGAGCAAGGAGUUGUUUAAGAAAGACAAAAUACAUACAAAGUAAUGUGUCCGCAAGUGGGAGCCAUGAUAGCUGUGGGUGUGGAGUUGCCACAUGAUGAUGUUCCAUGGCUGGCUGCCUGAUCAAGCGGAGCCUCAAAGGUCAUCUGUGGCUUGGUAGAGGCCUGGGUCCAGAUCGGGCCCUUAACUUUUAAGUUUCAGAAACCCCAUGUUGUAAUCAGCCCACACAACGUUGACCAGGCCUCAAGGAAUGGACUCUUGCCAACCAAACUCCCAUAGUAGACUGACGGGAAAACCAGCAUGCCAGUUGAAGUAAUGUACCAUCAGAGACACACCUUUCUAAUUACUAUGCAGGGGACCCCUUUCUGCUGUGUACCAGAAAAACUGAAUUAGCAUUUAGAAAACUACUUGUUAAACAGGAAUCAGGGUAAAAGAAGUCUUCAGGAGUGUGUGGCUCAGAUCGUUGGUACAGUCUGGAACAUUUUUGCCAUUCCCUGACACCCCUGGGGAAACACUAGCUAGAUUCUUACUCUUCACCUCUCUUCUUCUAGGCUCCUUACAGACUCUUUCAUGCCUUUAAUUAUCUUUACUUCUCAUCAAAUAACAUGACUUAUUACAACUUAC
RNAcentral lists this long non-coding RNA (2934 nucleotides) under Homo sapiens (human). RNAcentral's name for it is "HSALNT0018117". Lineage: Eukaryota; Metazoa; Chordata; Mammalia; Primates; Hominidae. The record is from RNAcentral.